UCUUACGGCCAUACCACCCUGAGCGUGCCCAAUCUCGUCUGAUCUCGGAGCCUAAGCAGGGUCAGGCCUGGUUAGUACUUGGAUGGGAUACAGCCUGGGAAUACCAGGUGCUGUAAGCU
Ribosomal RNA from Cyprinus carpio carpio, 119 nucleotides. The record is from Ensembl. NCBI's taxonomy places the organism in Eukaryota, Metazoa, Chordata, Actinopteri, Cypriniformes, Cyprinidae.